GCAUUAGUCGGAGGUUUA
This 18-nucleotide small nuclear RNA is filed under the name Arabidopsis thaliana (thale cress). RNAcentral describes it as "snRNA_07660". The record is from RNAcentral. Lineage: Eukaryota; Viridiplantae; Streptophyta; Magnoliopsida; Brassicales; Brassicaceae.